UGUGCGGUAAUUGUGUAAGUAUUAGACUGGAACUCAUAACCUGAAGGUCAUAGGUUCAAAUCCUAUCCCCGCAACCA
Molecule: transfer RNA, 77 nt
Filed under: Acetobacter pomorum
Lineage: Bacteria; Pseudomonadati; Pseudomonadota; Alphaproteobacteria; Acetobacterales; Acetobacteraceae
Also listed under: 1 other name
Description: tRNA-Ser
Rfam family: tRNA
About the family: Transfer RNA (tRNA) molecules are approximately 80 nucleotides in length. Their secondary structure includes four short double-helical elements and three loops (D, anti-codon, and T loops).
Source: RNAcentral